UAAUCUGUUUGUGGUAGAUUCUCAUCUAGUUAUGGUAGAUUCACAUUUAACUGCUCAGAAUUACCCGUGAGAACUACCGUGUGAACGAAAACUUUUUAAGAU
Molecule: non-coding RNA, 102 nt
Organism: Populus trichocarpa (black cottonwood)
Lineage: Eukaryota; Viridiplantae; Streptophyta; Magnoliopsida; Malpighiales; Salicaceae
Source: Rfam